CCCAAAUAUUAAUGAGUCUGCAACCCAACUAAUCAAGUUCCAUGGGAGCUAUCAGCAGUAUAACAGAGAUGAACGUGGUGCAAAAUCCUACUCUUUUAUGCUUCGAACUAAGAACCCUUGUGGCAAGGUCUCAAACAAACUGUACUUGACCAUGGAUGAUCUUGCUGAUCAGUUUGGAAUUGGAACUCUUCGUUUGACAACUAGGCAGACAUUUCAGCUACAUGGUGUUCUAAAGCAGAACCUCAAGACUGUAAUGAGGACCAUCAUUCAUAGCAUGGCUUCAACUCUUGGUGCAUGUGGUGAUCUCAACAGGAAUGUUCUGGGCCCUGCUGCUCCAUUUGCGAGAAAAGAUUACCAAUUUGCACAGAAAACUGCUGAGAACAUUGCUGCGCUUCUAACUCCUCAAUCUGGGUUCUACUAUGAUAUGUGGGUGGA
RNAcentral lists this unclassified non-coding RNA (435 nucleotides) under Hevea brasiliensis (rubber tree). The record is from RNAcentral. Lineage: Eukaryota; Viridiplantae; Streptophyta; Magnoliopsida; Malpighiales; Euphorbiaceae.